UGGCUCUCGCAUCGAUGAAGAACGCAGCGAAAUGCGAUAAGUAAUGUGAAUUGCAGAAUUCAGUGAAUCAUCGAAUCUUUGAACGCACCUUGCGCUCCUUGGUAUUCCGAGGAGCAUGCCUGUUUGAGUGUCAUGUUAAUAUCAACCCCGUCGGUUUGUUAAUCAAACCGUUGGGUGUUGGACUUGGAGGUUCUUGCUGGCUGCAAAGUCGGCUCCUCUUGAAUGUAUUAGCUUGGGCCUGUUGUACGUGCUCGCGGUGUAAUAAGUUUUAUUCAUCGUUUGGGUCGUACACUUAUUGGGCUUGCUUCUAACUGUCUUCGGACAAACAUAACCUUUGACUCUGACCUCAAAUCAGGUAGGACUACCCGCUGA
Molecule: unclassified non-coding RNA, 372 nt
Filed under: Trichaptum sp.
Lineage: Eukaryota; Fungi; Basidiomycota; Agaricomycetes; Hymenochaetales; Trichaptaceae
Also listed under: 1 other name
Description: partial contains 5.8S ribosomal RNA, internal transcribed spacer 2, and large subunit ribosomal RNA
Rfam family: 5.8S ribosomal RNA (bases 1-133)
Source: RNAcentral